AAGUCGUAACAAGGUAACCGUAGGUGAACCUGCGGUUGGAUCAUUAACAAAUUGAUUUUAGGCCCCUGGUUGUCCCACGAAGGCGAAGGGGGAACAACCUAAAAAACAUUUGUGUGCACCAUAUCUGUCUUUGGCAGUUCGAGUGUCCUUGGAGCGUAACUGCCCAAGGUACCUACUGAGGUGUUCCCUCUUUUGGGAGUGCCAAAGUUGGGCUGCCGCCUCUAUGAACAAACCUUUUGAAUUUCAUUUUGUCUGAAAUUUGUUUAAUCAUUAUGAUUGAAUUUAAAUACAACUUUUGACAACGGAUCUCUUGGCUCUC
This 319-nucleotide unclassified non-coding RNA is filed under the name fungal sp. Its description in RNAcentral is "partial internal transcribed spacer region". The stretch from base 1 to 46 matches the Rfam family "Eukaryotic small subunit ribosomal RNA", at positions 1786 to 1831 of the family's 1831-position model. Lineage: Eukaryota; Fungi. The record is from RNAcentral.